This 1151-nucleotide long non-coding RNA is filed under the name Cucumis sativus (cucumber). RNAcentral describes it as "long non-coding RNA (CSAT_LNC001744)". The record is from RNAcentral. Lineage: Eukaryota; Viridiplantae; Streptophyta; Magnoliopsida; Cucurbitales; Cucurbitaceae.
AUUUUCGGUAUGGUAAAGCCUUGGCCAUUUUUGGACCGUUUUUGGCGCAAACGUUGUGCACCCCGAACGAGCCCCACCCGACCCCUAGGCCCUGGGCUUUUUUUCUGUGUCAUACUGGGUGCAAUAUAGAUGGGUUCCACACCUAUCCGCGGCUAUCAUCGGCCUAAAUAGGUUGCACAAGAUCAAAGAAACAAAACUAGUCCAUGGGAAGAAAAGCAUUGGGACGAAAAUAAAAACUGAGUCCAGGCAUCUUCGAGCGGUUCUUGUGGGAAAAAACCUUGAUAUUACUUAGAGUGAGGCCUCCUAGUAGUUAUCUGGGAAUUUUCGGGACGUUUCUCACAUGGUUAAAAAUCGGCAGAUUUUCGGUAUGGUAAAGCCUUGGCCAUUUUUGGACCGUUUUUGGCGCAACCGUUGUGCACCCCGAACGAGCCCCACCCGACCCCUAGGCCCUGGGCUUUUUUUCUGUGUCAUACUGGGUGCAAUAUAGAUGGGUUUCCACACCUAUCCGCGGGCUAUCAUCGGCCUAAAUAGGUUGCACAAGAUCAAAGAAGCACAACUAGUCCAUGGGAAGAAAAGCAUUGGGACGAAAAUAAAAACUGAGUCCGGGCAUCUUCGAGCGGUUCUUGUGGCAAAAAAACCUUGAUAUUACUCAGAGUGAAGCCUCCUAGUAGUUAUCUGUGAAUUUUCGGGACGGUUCUCACAUGGUUAAAAAUCGGCCGAUUUUCGAGUAUAGUAAAGCCUUGGCCAUUUUUGGACCGUUUUUUGCGCAACCGUUGUGCACCCCGAACGAGCCCUAGGCCCUGGGCUUUUUUUAUGUGUCAUACUGGGUGCAAUAUAGAUGGGUUUCCACACCUAUCCGCGGGCUAUCAUCGGCCUAAAUAGGUUGCACAAGAUCGAAGAAGCACAACUAGUCCAUGGGAAGAAAAGCAUUGGGACGAAAAUAAAAACUGAGUCGGGCAUUUUCCGAGCGGUUCUUUGUGGAAAAACCUUGAUAUUACUCAGAGUGAGGCCUCCUAGUAGUUAUCUGUGAAUUUUCGGGACGGUUCUCACAUGGUUAAAAAUCGGCCGAUUUUCGGUAUGGUAAAGCCUUGGCCAUUUUUGGACCGUUUUUUGCGCAACCAUUGUGCACCCAGAACGAGCCCCACCCGACC